UACGUAGGGUGCGAGCGUUGUCCGGAAUUAUUGGGCGUAAAGGGCUCGUAGGCGGUUUGUCGCGUCGGGAGUGAAAUCCACUGGCUUAACUGGUGGCUUGCUUUCGAUACGGGCAGACUGGAGGUAUGCAGGGGAGAACGGAAUUCCUGGUGUAGCGGUGAAAUGCGCAGAUAUCAGGAGGAACACCGGUGGCGAAGGCGGUUCUCUGGGCAUUAACUGACGCUGAGGAGCGAAAGCAUGGGGAGCGAACAGG
This 253-nucleotide ribosomal RNA is filed under the name uncultured bacterium. Its description in RNAcentral is "partial 16S ribosomal RNA". It matches the Rfam family "Bacterial small subunit ribosomal RNA", at positions 524 to 776 of the family's 1533-position model. The record is from RNAcentral.